RNAcentral lists this long non-coding RNA (1492 nucleotides) under Felis catus (domestic cat). Its description in RNAcentral is "lncRNA (ENSFCAG00000053593.1)". The record is from RNAcentral. Lineage: Eukaryota; Metazoa; Chordata; Mammalia; Carnivora; Felidae.
AUGCUUGAGUCCUUGAUAGUUUACAAUUUACAGUUCUUACUAUGUCGUGACUCUGUGGUGGGAUCACAAACUGAACUGAGUGGGUUCUCCUGGCUCCUGCACCUGGGUGGACCCAGCUGUUGCAGCUGCCUGUGGACAGGCCAGGGGUGGGAGUGGGGGAGGGCAGUUGGUAGGCACUUCAGGUGGAUGAUUUGGUUCAUGACUUGUGCUUUUUCUUGUUUUGCCUGCAGAUGGCAGCACGCCCUGGACUUGUCUGCACCGCAAGCGGCCCUGAGGAGGGACAGCAGGGAGACAAGAAAAUGGACUCCCCUCUGCAACCUGCAAUGUACCAGGGUUUGCAGCCUAUUGGAGGAAAACAACAUCAAGCCUGGCAGGAUCCACGCUCAAGAGCAGGAUUUCCCAAGCAAAUACAGCCUGCUGGGAAAGGGAGCCAGUGACUGGUGACUCCCAAAGAUUUACUUGCCAGCUCCUAUCCCCACCCCCACCCACAUCAAUGAGGUGCCAAUUUAUUCAGCAUUUCUUGGGGCAGGGAUCAUCCACCUAAGUGAAUUCUCCAAGUAAUCAAACUCAGUCCCAUCACGUUGCAAUGUUUAAUUAAUUUGUUUUAUCAAAAUCAUGCAUGCAUAUGGUUUGUAUAUCAACAGUACAGGAAGCUUGUAAUAAGGAUUGCCUCCUUACCUUUCUUGGUGCUUCUCUCUCUCUAGAGAAGCCUCUUUCUACUCUUCAUUAGUUCCUAUUUCUGUUCAUACUGUUAUUUCUUGAUUUGCCAAUUUUAGACAUCUGUUGACUUCUUGUGGGAGACAAAAAUUAAGCUUUCCUACAAAGCUGCUUCCAGUUCUCCUCCCUCCAUCUCCCAGUAAGAAGAUAACAUGAUUUUUGGUUGACUCAGUAGUGACUGCAGACACAUUAUUCGCUGCUGAACUAAGUGGUGUGUUACGUGUCCUUGAGGUCUCGGGGGAAAAUAUCUUACAUCUUUGAUCAUUUUCUCCCCUUUGUUUUACCUGUUGGUAAACUGCCAACUGCUAUUACCAGUUGGUAAACUGGUAAAUUGGUAACUGGAUUACUCUUCUGAUAUUCUUAUAUUUUUUAUUUCCCUUCCCUUUGCCUUUUGGGUCUACUUUCUUGGGAAACUUUACUUGACUUUAUCCUCCAACCAUUCUGCUGAUUUUGUCUUAAUUGUGGCCUUCAUAUUUUUAAUAUACAAAUAUUCAUGUUUUCUGUGCCUUUUUUCAUAAUAUCACAUUCUUGUUCUAUAGAUAUGCUAUUGCCCUCUUAUCUCUCUGAAGGAGUUAUUUCUUUUUCUUUUGUUUAUUUGUUUUGUUUUAAUAUUCUUUUCUCUUUGUUGCCUUUAUAUCCACCUAGCUACUUUUUGUUUGUUUGUUUUCUCUCUUUCAUGUUGGAGGCUUUCCUCAAAUGUCAUAUGUCGUGGCUGCCUGUUAAUAUUUAUGAAUGAUGCAAUAAAAAGUAUGAAUCAAACUGUGUGUUUGGGAAC